Rhododendron vialii is the source of this 87-nucleotide small nucleolar RNA. NCBI's taxonomy places the organism in Eukaryota, Viridiplantae, Streptophyta, Magnoliopsida, Ericales, Ericaceae. The record is from RefSeq and is a predicted model, not a curated record.
UGGCGAUGAUUACAAAUUAUCCGCGCUUCUGAGAGCAAUCGAUGAAGGAUAAAGGAUAUAUAUGGUUGAAUUUCUUGAUAUGAGCCU